UACCCCUCGCUAAACCUCACCACUUCUUGCCAAACCCGCCUAUAUACCACCGUCGCCAGCCCACCUCGUGAGAGACUCCUAGUAGGCUUAAUGAUCAAGCAUCAAUACGUCAGGUCAAGGUGUAGCAUAUGAAGUGGAAAGAAAUGGGCUACAUUUUCUACUCCUUAGAAUAAACGAAAGAUCUUUAUGAAAUCAGAUCGGAAGGCGGAUUUAGCAGUAAAGAGAAACAAGAGAGUUCUCUUUAAAAUGGCCCUGGAGCGCGCACACACCGCCCGUCACCCUCUUCUACAAAUUAUAUAAUUUAAAUAAACACAUAACAAAUACUAAGAAGAGGCAAGUCGUAACAUGGUAAGCACACCGGAAGGUGUGCUUGGAACC
This 378-nucleotide ribosomal RNA is filed under the name Xenopus longipes (savannah clawed frog). RNAcentral's name for it is "partial 12S ribosomal RNA". It matches the Rfam family "Bacterial small subunit ribosomal RNA", at positions 955 to 1524 of the family's 1533-position model. Lineage: Eukaryota; Metazoa; Chordata; Amphibia; Anura; Pipidae. The record is from RNAcentral.